ACUAUUGAAGAAAUGAUCAAUCCUCCAGCCUUUUGAGGACCAAUGCACUUACUUGAGCAGUUGAAUAGGCCUCAUGAUCGCACGCGGCCACACACGGACUACCUCUGUUAUCUCGUAUAUGUUAUCUGCUCUUCAGAAAUGGUUGAUCCAUUCUUCAUACUAAGGUCAGAAGGGUGUCAUAAACGAUGCGUUUGUAUCUCUUCUCUGGCCAUACUACAGGACCUAGAAAAACAUGCAAACUGGCAGGUGCCCACCAUCCAUGACAGGCAAACCGGAUCCACCUGUUUAAACUCAAAGUGACCUCAGCAACACAUCAUCUAUUAGGUUUCUUAUUAGAGCGUUCCUACAGGAAAUGAAGUGCUGGUGGGGCUUAGCGAUGUGCAGGAGCUGUGUGAUUACCUCAUUACACAGCCAAUUAUGCUGAACUAACCUGCACCAGACUUGAAGUUGCAAGGCGAGACGAGAAAGAGAUGAAAAGUGAGAUGUGAAAUAAAAAAAAGGCAUGUAUUCAUGCAUUAUGAUUACUUUUAACAUUUUAUUCUCCAUCCAUCAAUUUUCUAUCCUGCUUAUCCUGUUGAAGGUCAUUGGGAGCAUGUCAUCUUGGACUCGUGUUGCCACUGUAGUAGUACAGUAUUAUGCCAUGACCUGAAGCCUAAUAAUAUUAUGAUCACUUCGACACUUCGACUUAGACAAUGCAGGCUGCACCUAACUACUGCAGCGACGCCAGAUGGCAAGCCAAUGAGGGUGAAGACGUUUGGGUGGAGACGACUUUGGAUGCACAAAUUGAGGCACAGCAGACCCUUAUCAGAUCCACAAACUGGCAAAUGAUGACAGCUGCUGAGAGUUGAUAAGGGGGCAAAGUAAAUGAUUAAGUAAAAAAGGUUUCACCUUGCAUGGCAUAUGAAGCAUCAACUUUUGCAGAACAAGCAUGAUAUGGAUUCUCCUGUACUCAAUAAAAAAAAACCAAGAUGAGCGCAGAAACUGCGGAGAAAGUUGGGUAUGAGUAUCCUGCAGCCUUCUCUCGUUCCCUUGCUAGCAAAAUCAACUUGGUGUCUUUGCUUCCUUCAUGGAGUGGUGUUUUAUUCUACUCAUGUCAACAAGUGAACCUGACUCACUUUGGUCCAGACCUAUUUCAUGAGUUUCGAUCUAAAUAAAACGUCUUUAAUGGCAAA
This is a long non-coding RNA of Hippocampus zosterae (dwarf seahorse), 1172 nucleotides long. RefSeq lists it as uncharacterized. The record is from RefSeq and is a predicted model, not a curated record. The transcript has 3 exons. Lineage: Eukaryota; Metazoa; Chordata; Actinopteri; Syngnathiformes; Syngnathidae.